GUCCACACUGUAAACGUUGAUUACUCGCUGUGUGCGAUAUACAGUACGCGGCCAAGCGAAAGCGCUAAGUAAUCCACCUGGGGAGUACGCCGGCAACGGUGAAACUCAAAGGAAUUGACGGGGUCCGCACAAGCGGUGGAGCAUGUGGUUUAAUUCGAUGAUACGCGAGGAACCUUACCUGGGCUAGAAUGCCUGCGACCGGUCCAGAGAUGGACUUUUCCGCAAGGACGCGGAGCAAGGUGCUGCAUGGCUGUCGU
This 257-nucleotide ribosomal RNA is filed under the name uncultured bacterium. RNAcentral's name for it is "partial 16S ribosomal RNA". It matches the Rfam family "Bacterial small subunit ribosomal RNA", at positions 793 to 1055 of the family's 1533-position model. The record is from RNAcentral.